Molecule: ribosomal RNA, 433 nt
Filed under: uncultured bacterium
Lineage: Bacteria
Description: partial 16S ribosomal RNA
Rfam family: Bacterial small subunit ribosomal RNA
Source: RNAcentral
AACGAACGCUGGCGGCAUGCCUAACACAUGCAAGUCGAACGAGACCUUCGGGUCUAGUGGCGCACGGGUGCGUAACGCGUGGGAACCUGCCCUUAGGUUCGGAAUAACUCCCCGAAAGGGGUGCUAAUACCGGAUAAUGUCUUCGGACCAAAGAUUUAUCGCCGUUGGAUGGGCCCGCGUUGGUUUAGCUAGUUGGUAGGGUAAAAGCCUACCAAGGCGACGAUCCAUAGCUGGUCUGAGAGGAUGAUCAGCCACACUGGGACUGAGACACGGCCCAGACUCCUACGGGAGGCAGCAGUGGGGAAUAUUGGACAAGGGGCGAAAGCCUGAUCCAGCAAUGCCGCGUGAGUGAUGAAGGCCUUAGGGUUGUAAAGCUCUUUUACCCGGGAUGAUAAUGACAGUACCGGGAGAAUAAGCUCCGGCUAACUCCGUG